Molecule: non-coding RNA, 82 nt
Organism: Ixodes scapularis (black-legged tick)
Lineage: Eukaryota; Metazoa; Arthropoda; Arachnida; Ixodida; Ixodidae
Source: Rfam
GCAGUCGUGGCCGAGUGGUUAAGGCGAUGGACUAGAAAUCCAUUGAAGUCUCUACGCACAGGUUAGAAUCCUGUGAACUGCG